RNAcentral lists this ribosomal RNA (765 nucleotides) under uncultured Streptococcus sp. Its description in RNAcentral is "bacterial SSU rRNA". It matches the Rfam family "Bacterial small subunit ribosomal RNA", at positions 28 to 776 of the family's 1533-position model. Lineage: Bacteria; Bacillati; Bacillota; Bacilli; Lactobacillales; Streptococcaceae. The record is from RNAcentral.
GACGAACGCUGGCGGCGUGCCUAAUACAUGCAAGUAGAACGCUGAAGGAAGGAGCUUGCUCUUUCCGGAUGAGUUGCGAACGGGUGAGUAACGCGUAGGUAACCUGCCUGGUAGCGGGGGAUAACUAUUGGAAACGAUAGCUAAUACCGCAUAACAGUAGAUAUCGCAUGAUAGCUGCUUGAAAGGUGCAAAUGCAUCACUACCAGAUGGACCUGCGUUGUAUUAGCUAGUUGGUGAGGUAACGGCUCACCAAGGCAACGAUACAUAGCCGACCUGAGAGGGUGAUCGGCCACACUGGGACUGAGACACGGCCCAGACUCCUACGGGAGGCAGCAGUAGGGAAUCUUCGGCAAUGGACGGAAGUCUGACCGAGCAACGCCGCGUGAGUGAAGAAGGUUUUCGGAUCGUAAAGCUCUGUUGUAAGAGAAGAACGAGUGUGAGAGUGGAAAGUUCACACUGUGACGGUAUCUUACCAGAAAGGGACGGCUAACUACGUGCCAGCAGCCGCGGUAAUACGUAGGUCCCGAGCGUUGUCCGGAUUUAUUGGGCGUAAAGCGAGCGCAGGCGGUUAGAUAAGUCUGAAGUUAAAGGCUGUGGCUUAACCAUAGUACGCUUUGGAAACUGUUUAACUUGAGUGCAAGAGGGGAGAGUGGAAUUCCAUGUGUAGCGGUGAAAUGCGUAGAUAUAUGGAGGAACACCGGUGGCGAAAGCGGCUCUCUGGCUUGUAACUGACGCUGAGGCUCGAAAGCGUGGGGAGCAAACAGG